Molecule: ribosomal RNA, 1406 nt
Filed under: metagenome
Description: bacterial SSU rRNA
Rfam family: Archaeal small subunit ribosomal RNA
Source: RNAcentral
CCAGUUUAUCCUGCUGGCGGCUACGGCUAUCUGGUUUGCACUUAGGCAUGCAAGUCUCUCGAAAGAGGGCAGACUGCUCAGUAACACGUAGCUAACCUGCCUUUAGGUCAAGAAUAGCCUCGGGAAACUGAGGGUAAUGCUUGAUAGGAGAUAAUUUCUGGAAGGAUUUAUCUCUGAAACUCGCGCCUAAAGAUGGGGCUGCGGUGGAUUAGGUUGUUGUUGGGGUAAAAGCCUAACAAGCCAACAAUCCAUAAGGGCUCUUAGCGGAGAAGCCCUGAGAAGGAAUCUUAGACACUAUUCCUAGCCCUAUGGGGUGCAGCAGCUGGGGAUUUUUUGCAAUGCGCGCAAGCGUGACAAAGCGAGCCAGAGUGUUUCUCUUUUUUGAGAAACUUUUGUCAGCUGUAAAAAGGCUGACGAAUAAGGACUGGGAAAGACUGGUGCCAGCCGCCGCGGUAAUACCAGCGGUCCAAGUCGUAGCCAUAAUUAUUGGGUCUAAAACAUCCGUAGCUUGUUUUGUAAGUCUUUUGUGAAAUUCUGUCUCUUAAGGACAGAGCGAGCAAUAGAUACUGCAAAGCUAGAGACUGGAGGAUGUGAGGAGUACAGUUGAAGUAGUGGUUAAAUACGUUGAUCUCAACUGGACUAACAACAGCGAAGGCACCUCACAAAUACAGUUCUGACAGUGAGGGAUGAAGGCUAGGGGCGCAAAACGGAUUAGAUACCCGUGUAGUCCUAGCAGUAAACUCUGCGCACUAAACAUCAGUACCUCCUCGAGAGGUAUUGGUGCUGUAGGGAAGCCGAAGAGUGCGCUACCUGGGAAGUAUAGUCGCAAGGCCGAAACUUAAAGGAAUUGGCGGGGGAGCACAACAACGGGUGACGCGUGCGGUUCAAUUAGAGUCCACACCAUGAACCUCACCAGGACCGACAGCAGAAUGAAGAUCAGUCUGAAGGGCUUACCUGACACGCUGAGCGGAGAUGCAUGGCCGACUUCAGCCUGUGUCGUGAGAUGACCUGUUAAAUCAGGUAACAGGCGAGACCCGCGUGCAUAGUUGCUACCUGAAGAAGGAGCACUCUAUGCAGACUGCUCUAGUAAUAGAGAGGAAGGUGCGGGCUACGUUAGGUGAGUACGUCCCUAAUGCCCUGGGCAACACGCGCGCGGCAAUGCUAUAUGCAACGGGAUGCAACUCCGAAAGGAGAAGCUAAUCUCUUAAUAUAUAGCCUAGUUCAGAUCGAGGUUUGAAACUCAGCCUCGUGACGCUGGAAUCCGUAGUAAUCGUUUUUUAGCAGAGAACGGUGAAUAUGUCAAGGUUCCUUGCACACACCGCCCGUCAAACCAACCGAGUUUUGCAUUGGUGAGGCUCUACGAGACGAGCUUUUGUAAGACAAGGUAGGUUAAGUCGACACAAGGU